GCGUCUUAAGCAUGCAAGUCAAACGGGAUGUAGCAAUACAUCUAGUGGCGAACGGGUGAGUAACGCGUGGAUGAUCUACCUACGAGAUGGGGAUAACUAUUAGAAAUAGUAGCUAAUACCGAAUAAAGUCAAUUAAUUUGUUAAUUGAUGAAAGGAAGCCUUUAAAGCUUCGCUUGUAGAUGAGUCUGCGUCUUAUUAGUUAGUUGGUAGGGUAAAUGCCUACCAAGGCGAUGAUAAGUAACCGGCCUGAGAGGGUGAACGGUCACACUGGAACUGAGAUACGGUCCAGACUCCUACGGGAGGCAGCAGCUAAGAAUCUUCCGCAAUGGGCGAAAGCCUGACGGAGCGACACUGCGUGAAUGAAGAAGGUCGAAAGAUUGUAAAAUUCUUUUAUAAAUGAGGAAUAAGCUUUGUAGGAAAUGACGAAGUGAUGACGUUAAUUUAUGAAUAAGCCCCGGCUAAUUACGUGCCAGCAGCCGCGGUAAUACGUAAGGGGCGAGCGUUGUUCGGGAUUAUUGGGCGUAAAGGGUGAGUAGGCGGAUAUAUAAGUCUAUGCAUAAAAUACCACAGCUCAACUGUGGAACUAUGUUGGAAACUAUAUGUCUAGAGUCUGAUAGAGGAAGUUAGAAUUUCUGGUGUAAGGGUGGAAUCUGUUGAUAUCAGAAAGAAUACCGGAGGCGAAGGCGAACUUCUGGGUCAAGACUGACGCUGAGUCACGAAAGCGUAGGGAGCAAACAGGAUUAGAUACCCUGGUAGUCUACGCUGUAAACGAUGCACACUUGGUGUUAACUAAAAGUUAGUACCGAAGCUAACGUG
RNAcentral lists this ribosomal RNA (816 nucleotides) under Borreliella garinii. Its description in RNAcentral is "bacterial SSU rRNA". It matches the Rfam family "Bacterial small subunit ribosomal RNA", at positions 44 to 859 of the family's 1533-position model. The record is from RNAcentral. Lineage: Bacteria; Pseudomonadati; Spirochaetota; Spirochaetia; Spirochaetales; Borreliaceae.